RNAcentral lists this ribosomal RNA (253 nucleotides) under uncultured bacterium. RNAcentral's name for it is "partial 16S ribosomal RNA". It matches the Rfam family "Bacterial small subunit ribosomal RNA", at positions 524 to 776 of the family's 1533-position model. The record is from RNAcentral.
UACAGAGGUCUCAAGCGUUGUUCGGAAUUACUGGGCGUAAAGGGCUCGUAGGCGGCCAACUAAGUCAGACGUGAAAUCCCUCGGCUUAACCGAGGAACUGCGUCUGAUACUGGAUGGCUAGAGAUUGGGAAAGGGAUGCGGAAUUCCAGGUGUAGCGGUGAAAUGCGUAGAUAUCUGGAGGAACACCGGUGGCGAAGGCGGCAUCCUGGACCAACACUGACGCUGAGGAGCGAAAGCCAGGGGAGCAAACGGG